CAUGCAUGUCUAAGUAUAAAUUCUUGUACGAUGAAACUGCAGACGGCUCAUUACAACAGUGAUAAACUAAUAGACUUUCGGGUUUUACCUUUUGGAUAACCGCAGUAAAUCGGGGCUAAUACAUAGAAGCGAGGGGUGACUGAUUUAUCGGAAGCUCCGCGAUUAUUAGCAUUCAACCAAUACCCGCAAGGGUUCUGUUGGUGAAACCGAAUAAUAUUGCAGAUCGAAGAUUUAUCUUCGACAAGUCUACUGUGUCACUGCCCUAUCAACUUUCGAUGGUACGGUAUUGGCCUACCAUGGUUGUAACGGGUAACGGGGAAUUAGGGUUCGAUUCCGGAGAGGGAGCCUGAGAAAUGGCUACCACUUCUACGGAAGGCAGCAGGCGCGCAAAUUACUCAAUCCCAAUACGGGGAAGUAGUGACAAUAAAUAUCGAUGCCUAUCCAUUUUUGGAAGGGUAAUUGAAAUGAACACAAAUUAAAACUCUUAAUUAAUACAAUUGGAGGGCAAGUCUGGUGCCAGCAGCCGCGGUAAUUCCAGCUCCAAUAGCAUAUACUAAAGUUGUUGCAGUUAAAAAGCUCGUAGUUGAAGUUAAAGCUUUAUUUGGGUUAAAAAUCCAUUUGCCUUUUAACGGUUAAAUAGGAUUCCAGUAUUGCUUUUUUAAAGUUCAGUUGGUAUUGCCUUUGGUAGUACUUAUUUGGACAUUUCACUGUGAGAAAAUUGUGGUGUUUAAAGCAGGCGUCUCUGUCUGAUCUUUUGCAGCAUGGUAUGAUGGAACAUGACAUUUUGCGCAAUUGGUUGCGAUUAAAGUGUAAUGAUUAAUAGGGAUGGAUGGGGGUGUUCAUAUUGGUGGGCGAGAGGUGAAAUUCGUUGACCCUAUCAAGAUGAACUUCUGCGAAAGCAUUCACCAAAUACUUCCCCAUUAAUCAAGAACGAAAGUUUGGGGAUCGAAGACGAUCAGAUACCGUCGUAGUCCAAACUAUAAACUAUGUCGACCAGGGAUCGGUUAAAUCUUUUUAAAAGUUUAAUCGGCACCUUGUGAGAAAUCACGAGUGUUUAGAUUCCGGGGGGAGUAUGGUCGCAAGUCUGAAACUUAAAGGAAUUGACGGAAGGGCACACAAUGGAGUGGAGCCUGCGGCUUAAUUUGACUCAACUCGGGAAAACUUACCAAGCUAAGAUAUAGUAAGGAUUGACAGACUAAGAGAUCUUUCAUGAUUCUAUAAGUGGUGGUGCAUGGUCGUUCUUAGUUGGUGGAGCGAUUUGUCUGGUCAAUUCCGAUAACGGACGAGACCUCGACCUGCUAACUAGUAGUAUUUAUUGGCCGUUAUGGAUGAUAGCUAUUCGGGGUUUGGAAGGGUUUCGGCUCUCUCCGCUUCGUGUGGUGUGUAAUCUGGUCGGAUAGGUACGAAUUAAAACUUCUUAGAGGGACUACCUGCCUCAAGCAGGCGGAAGUCCGAGGCAAUAACAGGUCUGUGAUGCCCUUAGAUACCUUGGGCCGCACGCGCGCUACAAUGUAGAAAGCAAAAAGGUUCCUGGUCCGGAAGGAUUGGGUAAUCAAUUGAAUUUUCUACGUAACUGGGAUUGAUCUUUGUAAUUAUUGAUCAUCAACGAGGAAUUCCUUGUAAGCGUAAGUCAUUACCUUAUGCUGAAUAUGUCCCUGCCCUUUGUACACACCGCCCGUCGCUCCUACCGAUCGAAUGAUACGGUAAAGCCAACGGAUAAGAUCCUUUUGGGCAACCAAUUGGAUUUUAAAAGUUGUU
RNAcentral lists this ribosomal RNA (1758 nucleotides) under Polysphondylium sp. RNAcentral's name for it is "SSU rRNA". It matches the Rfam family "Eukaryotic small subunit ribosomal RNA". Lineage: Eukaryota; Evosea; Eumycetozoa; Dictyosteliales; Dictyosteliaceae. The record is from RNAcentral.